This 286-nucleotide signal recognition particle RNA is filed under the name Saimiri boliviensis boliviensis (Bolivian squirrel monkey). Its description in RNAcentral is "Metazoan signal recognition particle RNA (ENSSBOG00000003227.1)". It matches the Rfam family "Metazoan signal recognition particle RNA". Rfam says of the family: The signal recognition particle (SRP) is a universally conserved ribonucleoprotein. Lineage: Eukaryota; Metazoa; Chordata; Mammalia; Primates; Cebidae. The record is from RNAcentral.
GUGGGGUUUGGUGGCACACACCUGUGGCCCCAGCUACUCAGAAAGCUGACGCAGGAGGAAAGCUUGAGCCCAGGAACUCUGGGCUGUGCAGGUUGGGUAUCCCCACUAAAUUCGGCAUCAGUAUGGUGACCUCCUGGGAGUGGCGGAACAUCAGGUUGCCUAAGGAGGGGUAAACAGGACCAGGAUGGAAAUGAAGCGGCAUAAAACUCCAUGCUGAUUAUAAUGGGAUCAUGCCUGUGGGGACCCACUGCACUACAGAUGGAGCAGCAUAGUGAGACCUGUGUCU